AUGUCAUAUAUAGCACGAGAUGCGCAUACACGGCCAUGUAUGCAGAUUUGCUUAGAAGAUCUGCAGUGCUACUUCUGGCCUGCUCAUCAAAAGAUUCAUCUCAUCACCUAUUGUAUUACUGUACAUGUUGGAUCCUUUUCAGUUUUCACGAUACCCAAAGAACUAAAGAUACAACAAAUUUCUAAUCUACUAUUGGUUAUUUUCCUCUUAUGUUCUCAUGGAUGCAAGCAAAGCAGUAGCCUCUAUAGAUGUUUGAUCCUUUUCGUCUUACUCCAAAUACACCUGAUCAUGGACGUCGUGAUUAAGGCAUGGCCCCAAACAGCAGCCGUGUACAAGGAGACUAUUUCUGCCUUUCUGGUGUCGCUCAUUCCUAACAUUUUUUUUCCAAACCAACCUAUGGAGAAGGCCUUUUUGUUUCUCUUGUAA
Molecule: ribosomal RNA, 426 nt
Filed under: Triticum aestivum (bread wheat)
Lineage: Eukaryota; Viridiplantae; Streptophyta; Magnoliopsida; Poales; Poaceae
Description: partial small subunit ribosomal RNA
Source: RNAcentral